This 27-nucleotide non-coding RNA is filed under the name Rattus norvegicus (Norway rat). The record is from RNAcentral. Lineage: Eukaryota; Metazoa; Chordata; Mammalia; Rodentia; Muridae.
UGCAGCAUGUGCCUUGUCUCAGGACCU